This 437-nucleotide ribosomal RNA is filed under the name Escherichia coli. Its description in RNAcentral is "partial 23S ribosomal RNA". It matches the Rfam family "Bacterial large subunit ribosomal RNA", at positions 419 to 858 of the family's 2925-position model. Lineage: Bacteria; Pseudomonadati; Pseudomonadota; Gammaproteobacteria; Enterobacterales; Enterobacteriaceae. The record is from RNAcentral.
GGGACACGUGGUAUCCUGUCUGAAUAUGGGGGGACCAUCCUCCAAGGCUAAAUACUCCUGACUGACCGAUAGUGAACCAGUACCGUGAGGGAAAGGCGAAAAGAACCCCGGCGAGGGGAGUGAAAAAGAACCUGAAACCGUGUACGUACAAGCAGUGGGAGCACGCUUAGGCGUGUGACUGCGUACCUUUUGUAUAAUGGGUCAGCGACUUAUAUUCUGUAGCAAGGUUAACCGAAUAGGGGAGCCGAAGGGAAACCGAGUCUUAACUGGGCGUUAAGUUGCAGGGUAUAGACCCGAAACCCGGUGAUCUAGCCAUGGGCAGGUUGAAGGUUGGGUAACACUAACUGGAGGACCGAACCGACUAAUGUUGAAAAAUUAGCGGAUGACUUGUGGCUGGGGGUGAAAGGCCAAUCAAACCGGGAGAUAGCUGGUUCUCC